GGGUUGUGAGGUUAAGCGACUAAGCGUACACGGUGGAUGCCCUGGCAGUCAGAGGCGAUGAAGGACGUGCUAAUCUGCGAAAAGCGUCGGUAAGGUGAUAUGAACCGUUAUAACCGGCGAUGUCCGAAUGGGGAAACCCAGUGCAAUUCGUUGCACUAUCGUUAACUGAAUACAUAGGUUAACGAGGCGAACCGGGGGAACUGAAACAUCUAAGUACCCCGAGGAAAAGAAAUCAACCGAGAUUCCCCCAGUAGCGGCGAGCGAACGGGGAGCAGCCCAGAGUCUGAAUCAGCUUGUGUGUUAGUGGAACGGUCUGGAAAGUCCGACGGUACAGGGUGAUAGUCCCGUACACCAAAAUGCACAGGCUGUGAACUCGAAGAGUAGGGCGGGACACGUGGUAUCCUGUCUGAAUAUGGGGGGACCAUCCUCCAAGGCUAAAUACUCCUGACUGACCGAUAGUGAACCAGUACCGUGAGGGAAAGGCGAAAAGAACCCCGGCGAGGGGAGUGAAAAAGAACCUGAAACCGUGUACGUACAAGCAGUGGGAGCACCUUCGGGUGUGACUGCGUACCUUUUGUAUAAUGGGUCAGCGACUUAUAUUCUGUAGCAAGGUUAACCGUAUAGGGGAGCCGCAGGGAAACCGAGUCUUAACUGGGCGUUAAGUUGCAGGGUAUAGACCCGAAACCCGGUGAUCUAGCCAUGGGCAGGUUGAAGGUUGGGUAACACUAACUGGAGGACCGAACCGACUAAUGUUGAAAAAUUAGCGGAUGACUUGUGGCUGGGGGUGAAAGGCCAAUCAAACCGGGAGAUAGCUGGUUCUCCCCGAAAGCUAUUUAGGUAGCGCCUCGUGAAUUCAUCUUCGGGGGUAGAGCACUGUUUCGGCUAGGGGGUCAUCCCGACUUACCAACCCGAUGCAAACUACGAAUACCGAAGAAUGUUAUCACGGGAGACACACGGCGGGUGCUAACGUCCGUCGUGAAGAGGGAAACAACCCAGACCGCCAGCUAAGGUCCCAAAGUCAUGGUUAAGUGGGAAACGAUGUGGGAAGGCACAGACAGCCAGGAUGUUGGCUUAGAAGCAGCCAUCAUUUAAAGAAAGCGUAAUAGCUCACUGGUCGAGUCGGCCUGCGCGGAAGAUGUAACGGGGCUAAACCAUGCACCGAAGCUGCGGCAGCGACACUAUGUGUUGUUGGGUAGGGGAGCGUUCUGUAAGCCUGCGAAGGUGACCUGUGAGGGUUGCUGGAGGUAUCAGAAGUGCGAAUGCUGACAUAAGUAACGAUAAAGCGGGUGAAAAGCCCGCUCGCCGGAAGACCA
Molecule: ribosomal RNA, 1313 nt
Filed under: Klebsiella pneumoniae
Lineage: Bacteria; Pseudomonadati; Pseudomonadota; Gammaproteobacteria; Enterobacterales; Enterobacteriaceae
Also listed under: 1 other name
Description: partial 23S ribosomal RNA
Rfam family: Bacterial large subunit ribosomal RNA
Source: RNAcentral